Molecule: unclassified non-coding RNA, 262 nt
Filed under: plant metagenome
Description: partial contains small subunit ribosomal RNA, internal transcribed spacer 1, and 5.8S ribosomal RNA
Source: RNAcentral
UCUCCGUUGGUGAACCAGCGGAGGGAUCAUUACCGAGUUUACAACUCCCAAACCCAAUGUGAACGUUACCAAACUGUUGCCUCGGCGGGAUCUCUGCCCCGGGUGCGUCGCAGCCCCGGACCAAGGCGCCCGCCGGAGGACCAACCAAAACUCUUAUUGUAUACCCCCUCGCGGGUUUUUUUAUAAUCUGAGCCUUCUCGGCGCCUCUCGUAGGCGUUUCGAAAAUGAAUCAAAACUUUCGACAACGGAUCUCUUGGUUCUG